This 63-nucleotide transfer RNA is filed under the name Limnodrilus hoffmeisteri. Its description in RNAcentral is "tRNA-Ala". Lineage: Eukaryota; Metazoa; Annelida; Clitellata; Tubificida; Naididae. The record is from RNAcentral.
UGCCGCUUAGUUUAUAUAGAACCAUUAAUUUGCACUUAAUAAGAGAGUACUGCCCAGCUGCGG